Molecule: ribosomal RNA, 949 nt
Filed under: uncultured Campylobacterota bacterium
Lineage: Bacteria; Pseudomonadati; Campylobacterota
Description: bacterial SSU rRNA
Rfam family: Bacterial small subunit ribosomal RNA
Source: RNAcentral
AGAGUUUGAUCCUGGCUCAGAAUGAACGCUGGCGGCGUGCUUAACACAUGCAAGUCGAACGGUAACAGAAGCAGCUUGCUGCUUGCUGACGAGUGGCGCACGGGUGAGUAAUAUAUAGGUAAUGUGCCCCUUGGACCGGGAUAGCCACUGGAAAUGGUGAUUAAUACUGGAUACUCCUUUUAAUCAAAAGAUUAAUCGGGAAAUGGAUUCCGCCAAGGGAUCGGCCUAUAUCCUAUCAGCUAGUUGGUGAGGUAAAAGCUUACCAAGGCAAUGACGCGUAGCUGGUCUGAGAGGAUGAUCAGCCACACUGGAACUGAGACACGGUCCAGACUCCUACGGGAGGCAGCAGUGGGGAAUAUUGGGCAAUGGGGGAAACCCUGACCCAGCAAUGCCGCGUGGAGGAAGAAGCAUUUCGGUGUGUAAACUCCUUUUGUAAGGGAAGAAGAUGACGGUACCUUACGAAUAAGCUCCGGCUAACUCCGUGCCAGCAGCCGCGGUAAUACGGGGGGAGCGAGCGUUACUCGGAAUCACUGGGCGUAAAGGGUGCGUAGGCGGUUUAUUAAGUUGGAAGUGAAAUCCUAUGGCUCAACCAUAGAACUGCUUCCAAAACUGGUAGACUAGAAUCCGGGAGAGGCCAAGGGAAUUCCUGGUGUAGGGGUGAAAUCCGUAGAGAUCAGGAGGAAUGCCGAAAGCGAAGGCGCUUGGCCGGAACGGAAUUGACGCUGAGGCACGAAAGCGUGGGGAGCAAACAGGAUUAGAUACCCUGGUAGUCCACGCCCUAAACGAUGGGUACUAGCGGUUGGGGGGACAGUCCUUCAGUCACGCAGCAAACGCGAUAAGUACCCCGCCUGGGGAGUACGGCCGCAAGGUUAAAACUCAAAGGAAUAGACGGGGACCCGAACAAGCGGUGGAGCAUGUGGUUUAAUUCGAAGAUACGCGAAGAACUUAC